AACGAACGCUGGCGGCAGGCCUAACACAUGCAAGUCGAGCGAGGACUUCGGUUCUAGCGGCGGACGGGUGAGUAACGCGUGGGAAUGUGCCCUUCUCUACGGAAUAGCCCUGGGAAACUGGGAGUAAUACCGUAUACGCCCUAUUGGGGUAAGAUUUAUCGGAGAAGGAUCAGCCCGCGUUGGAUUAGGUAGUUGGUGGGGUAAUGGCCUACCAAGCCGACGAUCCAUAGCUGGUUUGAGAGGAUGCUCAGCCACACUGGGACUGAGACACGGCCCAGACUCCUACGGGAGGCAGCAGUGGGGAAUCUUAGACAAUGGGGGCAACCCUGAUCUAGCCAUGCCGCGGAAGUGAUGAAGGCCUUAGGGUUGUAAAGCUCUUUCAGCUGGGAAGAUAAUGACGGUACCAGCAGAAGAAGCCCCGGCUAACUCCGUG
RNAcentral lists this ribosomal RNA (433 nucleotides) under uncultured bacterium. RNAcentral's name for it is "partial 16S ribosomal RNA". It matches the Rfam family "Bacterial small subunit ribosomal RNA", at positions 29 to 507 of the family's 1533-position model. The record is from RNAcentral.